Pogona vitticeps (central bearded dragon) is the source of this 348-nucleotide non-coding RNA. The record is from RefSeq and is a predicted model, not a curated record. Lineage: Eukaryota; Metazoa; Chordata; Lepidosauria; Squamata; Agamidae.
UAGAGCAGGAUCUUUCAGAGUCUACUUGCAAGCUUCGACACAAGAAGUUGUACAUGCUGCAGAUUCCCCAUCUCCUGUAUCAUGGCAAGUGGAAAGGUCUAGAAUAUCAGAGUGACAGAAGGAAGAGACUGCUAAACGGGCUUGUUCCACAGAAUGACCCCUGUAUGAGAUCCAUGGGGCUUCGUGAUCCUUGGCUUUACAUUUGAAGACCCACUCUGUGAAAUGCCUGGUGGAGCAGCUGCAAGGGAACAUAAAUACUGCACUGUGACCUCCAUCUGAGCCCUCCCUAGCAUCUCUGUGGUUGGAAUAUCCAGAUAAUGUGCAGAAGUCGGCAGUUAUAGGACCAGU